Molecule: non-coding RNA, 311 nt
Organism: Oryzias latipes (Japanese medaka)
Lineage: Eukaryota; Metazoa; Chordata; Actinopteri; Beloniformes; Adrianichthyidae
Source: RefSeq, a predicted model, not a curated record
UACCUCAUCACCUCAUCCGCCUUCAUAAGGAGCCACAGGAUCAUCAGUCUUCGCCAGUCCGUUGCCCCUGAUGGAAUCCAGUACCACGAGUGGUCGCUCGAAUCAGUUCCCAGCCGUUCUCAUCAGUCUGUCCUCUCCUGCGGUCCCACCACGAGCCUCUGCCUCAUCAAGUGUCUCCACCCUCGUCAACAUCGGCCUACGGAGAAAUCCACCAGUGACGCCGCUUACUUCUGUCUUUCAGUUCGGAACCGACAUCUGGACCUGCUCACGUUCUGCUCUCUGCUCCUCGUAUUAAAACUCUUACCCGCCAA